UUUUUUUAUUUCACAAAUUAAUAAGCUUUUAUAUAUUAAACUUUGAACAUGAACAGAUGAAUUCACAUGAAAUGUGAUACAAGGAGGAUUAUGCAAAUCAACGGAUCACCUGCUAGCUACUCAAGAUUUAUUAUGCUGUGCAACCAAAUGUAAGAUCUAGCUGAAUUCAAUCUAUUCCACCAAGGAUGGAAUAAAGAACAAUAUUGCAUGACAAUUAUAAAAUUACAUUGCCAGAGAAAAUAACAGCCUACACAAUCAUUGCUUGUAGUAGCCACCUUGACGGGGAGGGGGGUAUGGAUUAGGAACAGUGUAAGGAGGUCGAGGAAAUGAUCCAGGUUGCUGUACAUGAGCAUUGUAGUAUGGGCCCUGCCACGCUGGAUAGACAGGUUGGCCAUAUUCCUGACUUGUUGCGGGUGGUUGUUGAACCUGUGCAGGCGGG
RNAcentral lists this unclassified non-coding RNA (439 nucleotides) under Hevea brasiliensis (rubber tree). The record is from RNAcentral. Lineage: Eukaryota; Viridiplantae; Streptophyta; Magnoliopsida; Malpighiales; Euphorbiaceae.